Vigna angularis (adzuki bean) is the source of this 4758-nucleotide RNA transcript. It is a transcript of the gene named ATP-dependent (S)-NAD(P)H-hydrate dehydratase, with no coding region annotated. NCBI's taxonomy places the organism in Eukaryota, Viridiplantae, Streptophyta, Magnoliopsida, Fabales, Fabaceae. The record is from RefSeq and is a predicted model, not a curated record. The transcript has 6 exons.
CUUUGUGUUAAAAAUAAGAAGUAGGGGGAAGAGUUUCAAGUGGGCGUCUGCUGUAAGGACCAAGGGUGUUUUAUUCUUUUUAAAAGGAAAAAGUGGUGGGGAAGGGGAGCACGUCCGUGAGUGGUAAGAAGUGAGGCGGCUGCACGUUUCUGGAAGUGGGAGACGGCUAUCUAACAGCAGAUGGUGCAGCUGGUGGAUGGUGGGUCUUCCCACUUUGAAGUGCUCCAACCACCAAGAGGAAUCAUCAUCAUUUUCUUAAUGGGCACAACACUAAGGGAAGGAAAGGGAGAAGCUGGGGAGUGCACGGGUUCUACUUCUUAAGGGGAAGAGUUGGUAGAUUCAAGGGGUUGGGAGGAUCCUUACGGAUUGGAAGAGUUGCUGCAAAAUAGUGAGAGGGUGAAAAUCGGAGCUGUUGAAGGACAAGGAGGCCUCGGAUUUGCAAGCCUUGAGAAGACUGAUUCAAGAAGAGUGUUGGUGCUGCAUCUUGAGGAGUUAGAAAGAUUGCUGCAUCCAGUGGUGAGGCAGAGAACGUUUGGAAGUACUACAUUCAAGUUUGGCUAGGAGGUCUUCAAGAGGGAAGAUGUCUGAAUUUGAGGGAUCAAGUGAAUUUAUUUGAAAACACAGUUGAGAAGGAUUUAGCAGAAAUGAUAAAUAACUCAACUGAAUUAUGUGAACAUUUAUCAAAAUCUAUAUAUGUAUUCAUCAUAGGAACCAAUGACUACCUCAGUAAGUACCUUGGAACAGACAAAACUUACCAAUCUAUAUCCUUCGCUGAUCUCCUCAUUGCAACAUUAUCUGACCAAUUUAAGGUACACUAUUCAUCUACUAUUAAUUUUACGGAAAAUGAUAACAACAUUUCGACACAGCGUACGUGUCAGCAUGUGAGCAGUCCACGUUUUGAUGGGAAAAAGCUGCUGAAAUCUGAGAAAACCUGCUUCAAUUGUGACGUGGCGAGGACGGGCACGGGCAGAGUAGAAGUUGCGUUUCAAAUUUGAGAUUCAUUUUCCAACUUCGUAGAGAGAGAAGCGCGAACGUUGAGAGGGAGACUGUGACCUAGAGAGAGUUGGAGAAAGGGAGUUCGAGAGAGAGAGGUCCGACGGAGUGUCGCCGGACAACGUCGAAGGCCGUGUCGGAGCUAGUCAACCCCUCCAGCCGGUUCCGAUUCACGGCCGCCGCAGCUCCGACGUUGGCCAACGAAGCGAAGACGGCAUCGUCUUCUGUCCGAUCCGGCCCAGCGAACUAGGGGCACGUUCAAGGUCUCGCUUCGUCCCUGUGCCGGAGUGCCGCCGGAGCAUCGCCGGAGAAUCGCCGGAGUGUGGACUGUUCGGUGGACAAAAAAGAGGGGUUUUCCGGGUUGGAGAAAGAUGUCUCAGUCUCAUGAAAAAACUCUAAUACUAAUCCAAAAAAUGGUGAAAGUGCCCCCACCAAAAGCACUUUUGUUGUUCAAUUCCUCAACCUAUGAGGGCCUUCAUCACACUCCUCACUCUAUCUCUUUCAUCUUAAACCAUCUCCUAUCCCAUGAUGACAUGCUACCCCAAGCUCAAUCUCUUAUCUUGCGUCUAAUCUCUGGUCGAAUCCCCUUCUACACAUUCUCUCCCUCCUCCUUAAUACCUCAACUAACACAAGCCCAUUUCACCUCUUCUUCAACUUAUGCUCCUCUCUGUGAAACAAUUGUCAAUGCUUAUGUUCAUUCUCACUCCCCUGAUCAGGCCCUCACUUUUCUACACCAGAUGAUUCACAAGGGUCAUCUUCCUACAUCAAACACCUUCAACAAUCUUCUGUGCUUGCUCAUUAGGUCAAACUGUUUCGAUAAAGCUUGGUGGGUUUUUAACCAAUUCAAGAUUAAAGUUGUUAUGGAUGUCUACACAUUUGGGAUUAUGAUCAAGGGUUGUUGUGAGGUUGGUGACUUAAUGAAAGGGUUUCGGCUUGUGACCAUGUUGGAGGAGUUUGGUUUGUCUCCUAAUGUUGUUAUAUACACUACGUUGAUUGACGGGUGCUGCAAGAAUGGAGAUGUCAUGCUGGCGAAGAAGUUGUUUUGCAAGAUGGAUAGGUUGGGUGUAGUUGCUAAUCAACAUACUUAUAGUGUCUUAAUGAACGGGUUUUUCAAACAAGGACUUCAAAGGGAAGGGUUUCAAAUGUAUGAGAAUAUGAAGCAAAGUGGAAUAGUGCCAAAUGUUUAUUCCUAUAGCUGUGUGAUUGGAGAAUAUUGUAAUGGUGGGAUGGUGGAUAAAGCUUUUAAGGUGUUUGGUGAAAUGCGUGAGAAAGGUGUUAUGUGUGGGGUUAUGACAUAUAACAUUUUAAUAGGUGGGCUGUGUCGAGGGAAGAAGUUCGGUGAAGCAAUAAAGUUAGUUCAUCGAUUGAGCAAAGUUGGCCUCAGUCCUAACAUUGUUACAUACAAUAUACUGAUCAACGGUUUUUGUGGUGUUAGAAAAAUAGACACUGCUGCUAGAUUAUUCAGUCAAUUGAAGUCAAAUGGACUUUCACCAACUUUAGUAACCUAUAAUACUCUGAUUGCAGGGUAUUGUAAGGUUGAGAAUUUAACAGGAGCUCUUAGCUUGGUCAAGGAAAUGGAAGAGAGAUGUUUUGCUCCUUCCAAAGUGACAUAUACCAUUCUGAUUGAUGCUUUUGCAAGACUAAAUCAUAUGGAAAAAGCACGCAAAAUGCAUGCUUUAAUGGAGAAGUCUGGUUUGGUUCCAGACGUACACACAUACAGUGUCUUAAUACAUGGGUUAUGUAAAACUGGUAACAUGAAAGAAGCCUCAAAACUAUUCAAAUCAUUGGGGGAGCUGCAUUUCGAACCAAACAAUGUUAUAUAUAACACGAUGAUUCAUGGUUACUGCAAAGAAGGAAGCUCUUACAGGGCUUUUAGGCUACUCAAUGAAAUGGUUCACAAUGGAAUGGUCCCUAAUGUGGCCAGUUUUUGCUCAACCAUAGGGCUUCUUUGCAAUGAUGGAAAGUGGAAGGAAGCAGAGUUUCUCUUAGAAAAGAUGAUAAAUUCAGGACUAAAGCCAACGGUUUCUUUAUACAAUAUGGUUUACAAAGAAAAGAUCAACGUUUAGAAUGCCGAACAUGGUUUAGAUCGUCAGGGCCUGUCCCCGAAGGCCACUACUUUAACUGGGUUAGUAAUGACAUAGUGCUGUGUACUCUUUUAUAGCAGGCUAAAAUUUCUACAUCCCGCAAAUGUAUUCAUUCAUCUUGGAAUGCAUCUUUUACAUUUAAAAGAAGUUCAUUUCAAAAUAACUGAAAAUACUCAAAAAAUUGAUAGAGCUCUGGAAAAAACACCCUUUAUAGCAUGUCAACCAUAUGUUCUACACCACAAUUGGCCUAGGAACUCCCCAAAACAACACGGAUCUAGCCAUUGAUCUUGGAGGAGAGAACCUCUGGCACGACUGCAGCACAAAUGCUAUAAUUCUUCCUCCAACCGUAAAGUUGUUUGUGAGUCAAAGAAAUGCCCCAAAAACGCUUCAUCCAUUGCCACUGGCUGCAUUGACACUUAUAAACCAGGUUGUGCAAUCAACGAUUUUGUUAUGACAAUGAGCAACUCAUAGUGAAAUGUUGUAUUCUUUACUGUUUUUAGUGUUUGGAUUUGUUUUUAGAUUUCUCUUAGCAUUUCAAAUUUGCUUAGAUAGUUGUUUUUCCUUUUUAGUUUACUAAUGAUAUUUUGUUGAUUCCUAGUUGAUUAUAGUUUUUAUGUGCGUUUUUAUAUUACCUGCUGCUUUAGUUAUCCUUGAUUUUAGUUUUCUCGUUUUUAAAAGUUGUAGAGCUAUUUUUAGGAUCCAUUUUCUAUUUUAAGAGUAGUUUAAAGUCCUCAUUCUAUUUUAGCAAUAUAGUUUAAGUAGUAGUAGAGCUUACGUUACUUUCAGUUUAGUCUUGUUAUUUGUAGCUUUAAUUCUAGACAAUAUGUAGAAUAUUUUGUUAAUAAACUUUGAUGUGCAAGUUCAUGGUAGUGAUUUGGUGCUGUUUUGAGUUGUGCAGUGCACUUGAGAGAGCAAUUGGCUUCAAUAUGAGCUGGAUGAGAUGAUUGGCAAAAUUGGAGAAAGUGCAGCUGCUGUGAAGGCUUGCAAGCCUGCUGCCACGCUGGAUAACUGAAGUCAAAGCUGUCUAUUUGUAUUGUGCUUAGCUGUCAAGCUUACCUGGACAAGCGGUCAAAGAACUCUAAGAGGCAAAUUUAAGAAGCUGGCUGACUUGUUACCUGGAAAAACUGAAGCAGAAGCAUGCGGAUUGUCGGUGUUACUAUCCUAAGGAAACGAAAUUCUGAUCUUGUAAGUGAUGGUGACACAGUCAAAUCAGUGAGCAUAUAUGGUUCUCCUAGACGUUGCGGUGGCCAAGGUGAUAUCCUUUCUGGAAGUGUGGCUGUCUUCUUAUCAUGGGCACGUCAACAUAUCUUGGCUGCUGAUUCAAACUCGAAUCUCAGUUGUAAAAAUCCAACAGUUGUGGGAUGCAUUGCUGGGUCUGCUAUAUUGAGGAAGGCUGCAUCACUUGCUUUUCUAAAGAAGAAAAGAUCCACAGUCACUGGUGACAUCAUUGAAUGCUUGGGACAAAGUUUGGAAGACAUUUCUCCUGCCAGUUAAUUCACUCUAGAUGCUCACCGUUGGCAACCAAGUUUACUUAUCCUGCAAUAAUAUUUUCUUUCUUUGUUGAGUUUUCUUCUUUCUUGUCUUUAUUUCUCCCAUUUUGGUCUGCUUUUUUUAUUUUGAAUAUUUAAAACAUGUCUGCCUGUUUUGCAAUGAUAGCCAAAGUGUUUUGACUUUCAUGUUA